Molecule: ribosomal RNA, 254 nt
Filed under: uncultured bacterium
Lineage: Bacteria
Description: partial 16S ribosomal RNA
Rfam family: Bacterial small subunit ribosomal RNA
Source: RNAcentral
AAGGCAAAGCCGCGAGGCAGAGCGAAUCUCAAAAAGCCGUCCCAGUUCGGAUUGCAGGCUGCAACCCGCCUGCAUGAAGUUGGAAUCGCUAGUAAUCGCGGAUCAGAAUGCUGCGGUGAAUACGUUCCCGGGUCUUGUACACACCGCCCGUCACACCAUGGGAGCCAGGAAUGCCCGAAGCCAGUGGCCUAACCGCAAGGGAGGAGCUGUCGAAGGCAGGCCCGGUAACUGGGGUGAAGUCGUAACAAGGUAAC